UGUUCUCUUCUUCCUACUCCUCGCCGCCGCUGCCACCGUCAACGCCACCGACCACAUCGUCGGAGCUAACAAAGGCUGGAACCCUGGCAUCAAUUACACCCUUUGGGCGAACAACCAAACCUUCUACGUUGGUGACUAUAUCUGUACGUAUUAUACACUUUGCAGUACAUAUUUUGCGUCUUUGUUACUACUUUUCUAACUUCUCUGUCCAUCUCUCUUUUUUAUUACAGCGUUUAGGUAUCAGAAGUCACAGUACAAUGUGUUUUUAGUGAACAAGACUGGAUAUGAUAACUGCACAAUAGAAGGUGCUUUUGGGAAUUGGACCGGCGGAAAAGACUUUAUUAUGCUGAACAAGACCCAGAGGUAUUACUUCAUUUGUGGCACUGGCGGUUGCUUUAACGGAAUGAAGGUUUCGGUGGUUGUUCAUCCUCUUCCAUCUCCUCCGAAGUCAGCCAUUUCUGCUGAGCAUUCCUCCAAAAAAUCUACUGCUCCGGUGGCGGCGUGCGGUUUUGGGUCACUAUUAGCCAUCAGCUUCGCCUUUUUUGGAUUGACAUUUUCCGUUUGGAUCUAGCAAGUUUUGGUCUUUCUUUUUUGAGAUUGUUGUGCUAUCUUAGCUCCAUUAAAUUCUGAAACUGCCACAACCACAAG
RNAcentral lists this long non-coding RNA (648 nucleotides) under Nicotiana tabacum (common tobacco). RNAcentral's name for it is "long non-coding RNA (NTAB_LNC013991)". Lineage: Eukaryota; Viridiplantae; Streptophyta; Magnoliopsida; Solanales; Solanaceae. The record is from RNAcentral.